This 253-nucleotide ribosomal RNA is filed under the name uncultured bacterium. RNAcentral describes it as "partial 16S ribosomal RNA". It matches the Rfam family "Bacterial small subunit ribosomal RNA", at positions 524 to 776 of the family's 1533-position model. The record is from RNAcentral.
UACGUAGGUGACCAGCGUUGUCCGGAUUUACUGGGCGUAAAGAGCGCGCAGGCGGUCGUUCAAGUCGAGUGUGAAAGCCCCCGGCUCAACUGGGGAGGGGCACUCGAUACUGAUCGACUCGAAGGCAGGAGAGGGAAGCGGAAUUCCCGGUGUAGUGGUGAAAUGCGUAGAUAUCAAGAGGAACACCUGAGGUGAAGACGGGUUGCUGGGCCAACACUGACGCUGAUGCGCGAAAGCCAGGGGAGCAAACGGG